UGCAGUCGACGCGGUCUUCGGACCGAGUGGCGCACGGGUGAGUAACACGUAACUGACCUACCCAGAAGUCACGAAUAACUGGCCGAAAGGUCCGCUAAUACGUGAUGUGGUGAUGCACCGUGGUGCAUCACUAAAGAUUUAUCGCUUCUGGAUGGGGUUGCGUUCCAUCAGCUGGNUGGUGGGGUAAAGGCCUACCAUGGCGACGACGGAUAGCCGGCCUGAGAGGGUGGCCGGCCACAGGGGCACUGAGACACGGGUCCCACUCCUACGGGAGGCAGCAGUUAGGAAUCUUCCACAAUGGGCGCAAGCCUGAUGGAGCGACGCCGCGUGAGGGAUGAAGGUUUUCGGAUCGUAAACCUCUGAAUCUGGGACGAAAGAGCCUUAANGCAGAUGACGGUACCAGAAUAAUAGCACCGGCUAACUCCGUGCCAGCAGCCCCGGUAAUACGGAGGGUGCAAGCGUUACCCGGAAUCCUGGGCGUAAAGGGCGUGUAGGCGGAAAUUUAAGUCUGGUUUUAAAGACCGGGGCUCAACCUCGGGGAUGGACUGGAUACUGGAUUUCUUGACCUCUGGAGAGGUAACUGGAAUUCCUGGUGUAGCGGUGGAAUGCGUAAAUACCAGGAGGAACACCCAUGGCGAAAGCAAGUUACUGGACAAAAGGUGACGCUGAGCCCAAAGUGUGGGGAGCAAACCGGANUAGAUACCCNGGUAGUCCCCACCCUAAACGAUGUACGUUGGCUAAACGCAAGAUGCUGUGCUUGGC
Molecule: ribosomal RNA, 762 nt
Filed under: Deinococcus sp. 47
Lineage: Bacteria; Thermotogati; Deinococcota; Deinococci; Deinococcales; Deinococcaceae
Description: bacterial SSU rRNA
Rfam family: Bacterial small subunit ribosomal RNA
Source: RNAcentral